This is a long non-coding RNA of Pan paniscus (pygmy chimpanzee), 636 nucleotides long. The record is from Ensembl. Lineage: Eukaryota; Metazoa; Chordata; Mammalia; Primates; Hominidae.
GUUGUGGCUCAAGCACUUUGACGGGUAGAUGGCACUCAGGUCAUUACCCCUAAAUGGGGAGGCUCUGGCCAGUCACUGCCUUGGCUCUGGGAGCCUGGACUAUAUUUGGAACUCUUAGGGGCCCUGGGUCAUUGUGAAGUCUCCAGUGAGAAAUGAAGAUGGUAUAUGGAAAGGCGAUUCUUAUACUCAGAAGGAAAAGUUCCCAUGGAAGCCAUGGAUUCAUUCAUGACAAAGGCCUUGGCAUUUUUCAUUCCUCCAUUGGAUAUGAGUGCUGCAUUUUAAUGGUGGAGAGAACUCCAGGAGAGGAACCAUUGUUAUGAAAUCAAACCGAGACAGACAUCUGUUUGGAAGACUCAGGCUCAUCUCUCAUUUCCCCAAAGCACUUCAUCAAGGUUAAAUAAGAAAACAUUUGGCUUCUACUUUUAUGUCUUGAACUCUUAAAACUAUGUAAUCAUGUUUUUUUGGUAACUCGGGGCCAAGUAUGGAUCAGGUGUGUCUGUGUUACCUGGCCUGGCUGACGGGAAUGAUCAAGUUCAACACUUAAUUGUCAAGUUUCCCUUUGCCUUUGUGCUGUUUAGAUAGAAUUUCAGAGCUUGUAAAGGCCUAGCCAUAAAUAAAACAAGAUUGCAUGUGGGG